GCAAAACUUGUUUCCAGAUUGAAACUCAAAUCCCUAACAUCUCUAGUUCACGGUUUAAAAGAAACUAUCAUCCCUCGUUUGUCUCUCAGAAAUUGAAAAUCCAAAUUGACCUUUGCCGGCCAAACCAAAUCCAAAUCAGUUAACCAUACGUUUUCACCAAGGGAGAAAGUAAGGCUAAAAAUAAACUUCAAACCACGAGUGUAUGCUGGACUUAAGUGAGAAAGUUAAAGUUUCAGUUAAUGUUGACAAUUGAUUGAUUGGAUAAAAAAAUUCAAUGAAAAUUGCUAAGGAAGCAAGCUGAACUCGUUGAAAUUGAAAGUUGUUCUUGUCAGAAUGUUGCAACAUUUUCUCCAACAGAUCUUUCUCUGAUUGGCCUUACAGAUGGGUUUGCUUCUGUUAUAGAAGUGAGUUCUUAAUUUGCAGUACUGUUCAGAAAGGCAUGGGUUUUGGUUGGUCUCAAGGAUUUGGAUGUUUCGUAUCAUUUAGCGGCUGAAAUUAAUCACCAGUUUGAGUGUAGUUAUAUUGGUGAAGAAGAGGGUGCUCUGGUUUGAAAUAUGAAAUCUCGUAUAGGUUUGACGUUUUGCCUACACGGAUGGUAAAGCACAUUUAGUCUUCCAUUAUACAAUCGGCUUUGCGGAAGCAUUACAGGUUCAUUUCAGAAGCUAAAUUCCCGAACAUAUCGACGAAUGUCAGAUAAAAGAUUUAAUUACCGGUAAUAUACCAUCAUCAAUUGGUAAGAUUCCACUCAAAGAGUUACUAAUUCAUGACAACAUGUUAAUAGGAAAUUAACCUGUCAGUAUGGGAGAUCUCACAAGUCUGAGAUGUUUGCACUUACAAAAACCGGGUAAAAUCCUUCAAAAUUUUGGAAAUCUUAUGAAUCUUUUUGAAGCUGAUCUCUCUAGAAACGCUUUGUCUGGUCCUAGUCCUGCUCAAUUAGUUAAGUAACCUUAAUGUUAAUACACCUAAAAUGUGGUCCGGAAAUAUACCAAAAUCUUGGUUAUUAAAAAUGAACCAAUUUUUCACUUACAUUUAGCUGGAAUAGGGUUAACAGGGGAACUUCUUUAAGUCAAUAUCCCUUUCUGGCAGGGGUAGGGGGACAGAGUUUUGUUUCUUCUCUCUUCUGGCUUCUUUGUUGUCCUUUUAAUGAAGAAUUAGUCUUUGAACCACCAUGUAAGAAUAGUGGAAAUGGGGUAGAAAUUCAAGAUCUAUUUGCUGUAUAUUGCUGUUAGAUAAUGCGUAGACUAUCCCCAGCAUGUUCAAUUUCUGAAUUAUCUAUCACCUUAUGAGAUGAACUUUAGUUGUAUUGUCGCAGUGACUUCUGAAUAGUCACUCUUAUGGGGGUGAACUUUAGUUGCCACGAGAAAUAUGCUUGUUCUCCUGUAGUGGUAGAUUGAAGUCGUUUGAAUGAUGAAUAAAGAUUAGGUUCUUUGGCCAAGGUUAAUAUGUUGUUCCCAAUGGAUUUUACAUUCUUCGCUUAGACUUGCUAUCAUGUUUAAAAUAUUUUGAUUUUUUUAUCUAAAUUUCAUAUAUCUUACAUGUAUAGAGACUCCUGAAUACCAGGAUGCAUUUACGAAUUUCAUAGAUAUGGUCAAUGGGAAACUUGGAAAAUCCUGAAAUCAUUAGUUAUCCUUGUGUUGAUUGUAAGACUCUUGCCGUGCGAAUUCCUGGGAACAAAGUGUUUUGUCACUUGCAAGGGAUGGAUCCUACUUGCAUCUAAUGGAUAUUUCAUGGGAGCCGAAGCAACACCUAAUUAUCUUCACCAGGAGAGAGCAACACCUAGUGUAUAUCAGGUGGAUAUCUCAUGUUGAAGACCUCUUAUUAAUCAGGUUCAUGAAAUUAAACACGCGCGAUGGGGGGUUGGCGAAGCUGGUGGAAGAUACCCAGGGGCGGAUCCAGGAUUUUAAGAGAGGGGGUGCAAAAAAAAAAAUACACAACAAAAAGAAAAGGCUAGAAGUUUUCCGUUGGAGUGGGGUCGCCAUCUGGAAAACUAGGUAUAAUGAGUCAAUUUUAGAACUCUCAUAUUAUGUUGUUCUGUAUGGUUGUGAAAUUUGAUGAGGAUCUUGGAGAUAAUGCCAUUUUUAGGCUUAUUGAAGAUACCGGCGGUAUGGAAGUUAUGCCAAAAACAUCAGAUACACCUCAAGUUGAAAACCGAAGCUGUUCACAACAUUGUGGAGAAAUUCUUGUGCGGGGUGUCUUCUUCUUAACCCAAUCCAAGAAUCAAUACAAUUAGCUUAAUUAAUUACUUCACAUCUCUUAAAAUUGAAACGAGAACCAAAUUAAGAUACAGAGAAAAACGUAUCAGACUAAUGAUUAGUCUCUCCUACCGUGAACGAUUAUGGGAGAAAGAAAGUCGAAAUGGACUUUUCUUUUGGGCUUAGGGGGUGCAGGUGUUGAGAUUUUAGGGGGUGCAAACUCUUUUUUUUGGUUUUUCUUGGCUGGAAAAUGCUAGACUUCUUAUUGUUUUUGAAAAUUAAGGGGGUGCAACUGCACACAGUUGCAACAUGUUGCCUCCGCCCCUGAAGAUACCCACACCCCGUUAUUCCCAAGUUGUAUAGUGCACACUGUUGAUUAUCACUACGAAUUAUAUAAGCACAAGACAGUAAGUGGUUCAUUAAGAAAAGCUUCUGAUGAGCUUCUUUCUAAGGCAAAUUGUUGGAUGUUAACUUCUCUUAGGUCUGAUACUUGUUAAUUUAAAGUUGUGUUAUUUGUAACACCCUUUUUACAUCUGUAUGAACUCAUUGUUAAGGUACUUUAUUAUAUUACUCAAGUUAGCACUAGUUGAGCUUCUU
Molecule: long non-coding RNA, 2789 nt
Organism: Papaver somniferum (opium poppy)
Lineage: Eukaryota; Viridiplantae; Streptophyta; Magnoliopsida; Ranunculales; Papaveraceae
Exons: 4
Source: RefSeq, a predicted model, not a curated record